Molecule: ribosomal RNA, 429 nt
Filed under: Gemmatimonadota bacterium
Lineage: Bacteria; Pseudomonadati; Gemmatimonadota
Description: Gemmatimonadetes bacterium partial 16S ribosomal RNA
Rfam family: Bacterial small subunit ribosomal RNA
Source: RNAcentral
UAGGGAAUCUUCGGCAAUGGACGAAAGUCUGACCGAGCAACGCCGCGGGAGUGAAGAAGGUUUUCGGAUCGUAAAACUCUGUUGUUAGAGAAGAACAAGGACGUUAGUAACUGAACGUCCCCUGACGGUAUCUAACCAGAAAGCCACGGCUAACUACGUGCCAGCAGCCGCGGUAAUACGUAGGUGGCAAGCGCUGUCCGGAUUGAUUGGGCGUAAAGCGAGCGCAGGCGGUUUCUUAAGUCUGAUGUGAAAGCCCCCGGCUCAACCGGGGAGGGUCAUUGGAAACUGGGAGACUUGAGUGCAGAAGAGGAGAGUGGAAUUCCAUGUGUAGCGGUGAAAUGCGUAGAUAUAUGGGGGAACACCAGUGGCGAAGGCGGCUCUCUGGUCUGUAUCUGACGCUGAGGCUCGAAAGCGUGGGGAGCAAACAGG